CUUYGAUAGCCUCACGCUAUCUAUCGGAUCGUUUUAGAAACAUUCAGGGGCCAACAGUUUCAGGAUUGUUGAGCUCCAUUGGCGGGAUUUCGCCGUCUUCGUUUCUCUUUCUUCGCGGACRAACACGCGCCAGGGGCUGAGCGCUGUGCGGUGCACCGACUAAACGUCGCGUGCGCGCCGGCAUGUCUCUCGUGUUAGGGGCUUGUAGCUCAGUUGGUUAGAGCGCGCGCUUGAUAAGCGUGAGGUCGGAAGUUCAAGUCUUCCCAGGCCCACCAUUUUGAUCGAGUGCGGAGCAUUCGUCUUCUGGUACGGGGCCAUAGCUCAGCUGGGAGAGCGCGUGCUUUGCAAGCAUGAGGUCGUCGGUUCGAUCCCGUCUGGCUCCACCAGAUGGUUUGAUCACCAACGGCGUUACCGUCGUCCGCGAAACAUCACUUCGCACUCAUUGGUCCGGAUGGACGGUGACGUGCGUGUUUUCUGACAUCGUAAAGAGGAGAUCGAUCCGAGUUUGGAUCAAGCGAAGCAGUUCGCCUGAACCAUUCAUUAUCUCCGGGAUCAUUUCGGCGCUCGUUUUCAAUCGUGAGAUUGGAUGCGGGUUGUAAAUGAUCCCUUUUAGCGAAGCUUGACCGCCUCGCUAUCGGGCCGAUCUUACRAAGCAAGCUGGUCUUUCUAGUCAAUGUCCGGCUGCGCAAUCGCAUUCAUCGAGGAUGCGUGCCUGGGACUUCGGUCUUCGGGCAGUUGCGCAGACAACAUUCUGCCGAGUGUGUGGACAUUGAUAAUGAGAGCAAUCAAGUGCCUUAAGGGUGUUCGGUGGAUGCCUUGGCGCUGAGAGGCGAUGAAAGACGUGCUACGCUGCGAUAAGCCGUGGGGAGCUGCGAAGAAGCUUUGAUCCGCGGAUUCCKACUGGGGAAAYACCGGACGAYCAAGSUUCUUUCGCAGYUYCCMMGGCUWAUSSACGUAGMCGUCUUCAUSSCYCUCACSCCAGGAUCMCSAAMMCCUAAAGGMMUUGAUKKGYYYMUUAUWUCAUGUUCACYGGSMAAUGWUGUUCKGCCCAYSCRGMAAAYAGSCACKCWGCAAUGCAUKSSACGCCAUKGGMCUAAAAGAA
RNAcentral lists this unclassified non-coding RNA (1102 nucleotides) under Bradyrhizobium elkanii. RNAcentral describes it as "partial contains 16S-23S ribosomal RNA intergenic spacer and 23S ribosomal RNA". The stretch from base 199 to 272 matches the Rfam family "tRNA". The record is from RNAcentral. Lineage: Bacteria; Pseudomonadati; Pseudomonadota; Alphaproteobacteria; Hyphomicrobiales; Nitrobacteraceae.